RNA transcript from Gossypium raimondii (Peruvian cotton), 2341 nucleotides. RefSeq lists it as uncharacterized. The transcript is spliced from 6 exons. NCBI's taxonomy places the organism in Eukaryota, Viridiplantae, Streptophyta, Magnoliopsida, Malvales, Malvaceae. The record is from RefSeq and is a predicted model, not a curated record.
UGGGCUUUUACUUAGAAAAGUACUUUUCUUUGAAAAGCAAUGAAGAACAAGUUUGAUUUGGUAGCAAAUUCUCAGAAGCUAAGAAGUGCUUUUGGCCAGAUGAAGAAGUAAAAUUUUUAGCUUUUUAGCCAAAAAGUGCUUUUGGGCUGGUUCAUCUACUUUUUUUAGCCACAGACUCUUUGCUCUUUGCCCUCUGCUCUCUGCUGCUUCUUUGCCCUCGUCUCUGCCCUCUGCUGGUUCUUUGUUCCUCUGCCCUCUGCCCUCUGCCCUCUGCCAAUUGGAUAGGAGAUAAACUUAGGUUGUCAACGCUUCCUUCAUCUCCUACAUCGAGCAAAAAGAGUAAGAGACAACAAUGGUUACUUUCCGGGCAAUCUUGAGAGGAACCAUCCAGGUCCCAACUCUUACCAGUGAUGUUGUGCUCAAGGUUUGUUGGAAAUUGUGUAUGAUUGUGAUAAGCUUAGAAAGGGACCUUUAAUUAUUUGUUAUAGUUGAGGCUCCUAAUCUAUGUUGCUUUCAAUUUGCAAGUCCGUCCUGGCACUCAACCAGGCCAGAAGGUUAUUCUAAAGAAUAAAGGUGGAUAUAAUUUCAAUUGAUUUCUCAGACAAGUUGCUGUUUCGAUUGAAAUUGCCUAUGGUUAAAGCUGCUAUUAAGGUUUGUUAUUGACUUGAUUUCUAUACUCAUUCAAAAUUGAAAAUUUGAUUUGUUUUAAUGGAUAAUUUCAUCUUGAGGUCUCACAGCGUGGGAUAUAUUUUGAAAUAACAUAUUCUGAUCUUAUUGUGGAUGUUCAUCAAAGGAGGCAAAUCAUAUCCAAUGCUAAGGUGAGGAAUCCAGAGCUUGUCGCAUUGUUUUUGAACGGUUGUUUCUUUCUUUUUUCUUCUUUUUUUUUACUGUGUUCUAAUAAUUCUUGUGUUUUAGCGCAUUAAAAUAUAAAUUUAUAGCUGAUGAAAUGGUGAUGAACUAGGAUAUGAACAAUUGGUGAGUAGCAAAAAUUGAGAGAUUUAGUUAUGAUUUUUUAGUUGCUUUAUAAGAUGCAAUUUUGGUUGUUCUAGAUAGUAGUGGAUGCUGUCAAUGUGAACUAAUUAUCUGUAGCAUACUUUCCAGUUGCUGCUGGAUUGGACUCGAGGAAAAAAUGUCAUACUUUCUAGUGCUGCACCUUCUGUAUGUGAAGUUAAGAGGGCCUAAUGAUGUUGCAAACUUAGCAUAUUUGCUUGGUCUCUCUAUGGAACGAGCUAAAGCAGUUAUUUCCAAAAAUUGAGCCUUUUGACCAAUGCUUUGAGAAGAAAGCACUUUUUCAAGGAGGCUAUCAGAGUUGAAGCAGUGUCCUCCAGUAUAAAUCUUUGGAACUUGGAAAUUAGCAAUCAAAGUUUCAAUAUUGUCGAUGUAAAGCCUGCAAACAUGGAGGAUCUAACUGAGGUUAUAACAUCAGCAGAGUUUCACCCUACCCACUGUAAUAUGCUAGCAUAUAGUAGUUCAAAGGGCUCAAUUCGCCUCAUUGAUUUGCGGCAUCAGCUUUGUGUGAUUCUCAUGCCAAAUUGCAAGUGUUUUACCGUUUUUAGUUUCUUUUGUCUAUCAUUGCAAGUGUUCAAUAAAUGAUCUUGUGUGCUAGAGUAAUUGAUGGCUUUACAUGCUGUUCUAAAGAUCAGCUGGUGUUUCUUGGCACAUGUUAUGAGUGAUUAUAUGCUGUUCCAAAGUGUUGAUGAAAUCAUGAAAAUAGUUGAAGAGGCCAAAGUUGCCCCUAGAGUAUCACGGCCUAUCAGAGGCUUUGGCUAGGGUGGAGAAGAAGAUGAGGAUGCAAAGGAAGAAGAUGCAAAAGAAGACGAAGAAGAUGAGUACGAGAAAACGGUAAAAGAGGUACAUGCCAGUGGAGAAAUUCACGUCUCUUAAGGAAAAAAGAGAGUAAUAUAUGGUUUCCAAAUGUUGGAGCUUUGGUGUCUUUUAGUGCUUACAUAUGUUCUUAUAAAUAUGAUGUCAGUUUUUUGCUAUUAGACCUAAGUGUUGAAUAAACAACCUGUAAAUUAUUGUGUUUUGGACAAGAAGUUGAAAUGGGGGUUAAGGAUGCCAUAGUGAGGCGACACUACUAUGCUGGCGAGUAAGAUGAGAGCCACUGGCCGACAAUUUCUUAUUUCCUUUGGAUGCUCAACACAUAUGACAUGCUGCAAAAUUGUUUCUUGCCAAUGAUUUAUUUUAUGUUCUUAUGAACAAAGUUUGACUCUGAUCUUUGAUGUAGUUUUAUAUCAUUAUCAUGAAAUUUAGGCAGAACCUAAGAACUAUUUCUUUGUUUAUGAGGCAACUUUGUUAGUGGCUUAUUGGCAAUGAUCUUUUCUGGAGGUGUAUUAUUCAA